Orcinus orca (killer whale) is the source of this 210-nucleotide long non-coding RNA. RefSeq lists it as uncharacterized. The transcript is spliced from 3 exons. The record is from RefSeq and is a predicted model, not a curated record. NCBI's taxonomy places the organism in Eukaryota, Metazoa, Chordata, Mammalia, Artiodactyla, Delphinidae.
UAAAUCCUUCCCCACCAUCAGCAGAAAGCAAGCAGGGUUCAGAUCAGCACUGUGGCCAGGGAAGCUAGAAGGUCAAAGUCAGCUUUUUUUUUUUUUUUUUUUUUUGCGGUCCUUACUGAUUUUUUUUUUUUUUUUUUUUUUUUUUUUUUUUUUUUUUUUGCUGCCAAGCUUUUUUUUUUUUUUUUUUUUUUUUUUUUUUUUUUUUUUGAG